AGUUGGCUGCCUCUGGGGUUAGAGCUUGUUGCACAGAGCAACCUCCUGUUCUCAUCUUAUACUACUAGUUCUACUCUCUCAACUUUUUUGUAUAUAUAUCAAGAAGGAUGAGGUUUUGCUUGUGUUUGGGCUGAAUUAGGUAGUAAUCAUGGAAAGAGAAGUGAGAAAGAGAGCACGAUAUCGAGUAAGGUGAUUGGGAUCAUGGAGUAUGAAGAUUUUGUGGUAGUAUAUAGUAACAAGAGAGAGGAAGAUGAUGAGAAGCGGGAGAGCAGGAAGUGGGGAGGGAGGGGAAAGGGAAAUAUAUGGGAUUUGAGUUAAGGUGCUUUACUUGAGGGAGAGGGCGAAAAAGAUGGAAGGGGUUUUUGAGGGUCCAAAGUCGAUUGUGU
Molecule: long non-coding RNA, 386 nt
Filed under: Linum usitatissimum (flax)
Lineage: Eukaryota; Viridiplantae; Streptophyta; Magnoliopsida; Malpighiales; Linaceae
Description: long non-coding RNA (LUSI_LNC001403)
Source: RNAcentral